Molecule: ribosomal RNA, 156 nt
Filed under: Triticum aestivum (bread wheat)
Lineage: Eukaryota; Viridiplantae; Streptophyta; Magnoliopsida; Poales; Poaceae
Description: rRNA 5_8S_rRNA
Rfam family: 5.8S ribosomal RNA
About the family: 5.8S ribosomal RNA (5.8S rRNA) is a component of the large subunit of the eukaryotic ribosome.
Source: RNAcentral
GACUCUCGGCAACAGAUAUCUCGGCUCUCGCAUCGAUCAAGAACGUAGCAAAAUGCGAUACCUGGUGUGAAUUGCAGAAUCCCGCGAACCAUCGAGUCUUGGAACGCAAGUUGCGCCCGAGGCCACUCGGCCGAGGGCACGCCUGCCUGGGCAUCA